GAACUGCGAUAAGUAAUGUGAAUUGCAGAAUUCAGUGAAUCAUCGAGUCUUUGAACGCACAUUGCGCCCCCUGGCAUUCCGGGGGGCAUGCCUGUCCGAGCGUCAUUGCUGCCCUUCAAGCCCGGCUUGUGUGUUGGGUCGUCGUCCCCUCCGGGGGACGGGCCCGAAAGGCAGCGGCGGCACCGCGUCCGGUCCUCGAGCGUAUGGGGCUUUGUCACCCGCUCGAUAAGCACCGGCCGGGCGCCAGCCGGCGUCUCCAACCUUUUUUUCUCAGGUUGACCUCGGAUCAGGUAGGGAUACCCGCUGAACUUAAGC
RNAcentral lists this unclassified non-coding RNA (315 nucleotides) under plant metagenome. RNAcentral's name for it is "partial contains 5.8S ribosomal RNA, internal transcribed spacer 2, and large subunit ribosomal RNA". The stretch from base 1 to 105 matches the Rfam family "5.8S ribosomal RNA", at positions 50 to 154 of the family's 154-position model. The record is from RNAcentral.